AUGGAGAUCAUUGAGAUUUCGGGUACAUAUCUACUCGGAGGUAUAUUAGAUAAGCUCGACCUUCCAGCACCGCGCUAUCACUCUCAGACACAUCGAAGGGGCCAGUUUGUGACUGAUGUUACAUUUUAUCCCUCGAAAGAGCAUCUGCGACACCCGCCUACACCGGUCCAGCUCUCGAGCUCUCCCCUGCAUAACUUUCAAAACACAAUAGAUGUAGUUUCUCAAAAGGCAAUACACUAUAUGGAAGAUAACCAAAGCAAGGUUUUGCAAGACUACAACUAUAUUGAAUUGAAAAGAUCAGAGGAGGCCAACUUACAGCUUACUGACUUACUAGCUGAGAAAGAUGAAACGAUCAAAGGGCUAGCAAUGACCACUGGUAACUACAUAGGUGCUGUCCUUUCAAUCUGUGAUCGAAUAUCUUCCUUGGCUGUAUCUGAGUCACUUCCAACUGGGCCCGCGCUAGCCGUUGAGUUGGCUAGGAAGAUUUCAGAAGUUGAGCGUGCUGUUGCUCGGCUGAGCAAGCUUUCACAUGACGCCCUUCAGCUCCUCAGGGUUGCAUUUGGUUAUCCAGAGGAACAAAAUGAUGGUGACUCGGAUGCCCACAUCCUCGACCUUUAG
RNAcentral lists this ribosomal RNA (618 nucleotides) under Triticum aestivum (bread wheat). RNAcentral describes it as "partial small subunit ribosomal RNA". The record is from RNAcentral. Lineage: Eukaryota; Viridiplantae; Streptophyta; Magnoliopsida; Poales; Poaceae.